This 419-nucleotide ribosomal RNA is filed under the name uncultured bacterium. RNAcentral describes it as "bacterial SSU rRNA". It matches the Rfam family "Bacterial small subunit ribosomal RNA", at positions 917 to 1338 of the family's 1533-position model. The record is from RNAcentral.
GGGCCCGCACAAGCGGUGGAGCAUGUGGUUUAAUUCGAUGAUACGCGAGGAACCUUACCAGGGCUUAAAUGUAGUCUGACAGGGGUGGAAACACCCCCUCCUUCGGGCAGAUUACAAGGUGCUGCAUGGUUGUCGUCAGCUCGUGCCGUGAGGUGUCAGGUUAAGUCCUAUAACGAGCGCAACCCCUGCCGUUAGUUGCCAGCAUGUAAUGAUGGGAACUCUAACGGGACUGCCGGUGCAAACCGCGAGGAAGGUGGGGAUGACGUCAAAUCAUCACGGCCCUUACGUCCUGGGCUACACACGUGCUACAAUGGCCGGUACAGAGGGCAGCCACACCGCAAGGUGGAGCGAAUCCUUAAAACCGUGGCUCAGUUCAGAUCGUAGGCUGCAACUCGCCUACGUGAAGGAGGAAUUGCUAG